CCUACGGGAGGCAGCAGUGGGGAAUAUUGCGCAAUGGGCGAAAGCCUGACGCAGCGACGCCGCGUGAGGGAUGAAGGUCUUCGGAUCGUAAACCUCUGUUAGCAGGGAAGAACGGUCACUGUGCUAAUCAGGUGUGAAUUGACGGUACCUGCAAAGGAAGCACCGGCUAACUCCGUGCCAGCAGCCGCGGUAAUACGGAGGGUGCGAGCGUUAAUCGGAAUGACUGGGCGUAAAGCGGUCGUAGGCGGUACGACAAGUCAAGGGUGAAAUGCCCGAGCCCAACGUGUGAAUGGCCUUUGAAACUGGCUGACUGGAGUGUGUGAGAGGGUGGUGGAAUGCCAGGUGUAGGAGUGAAAUGCGUAGAUAUCUGGAAGAACAUCAGUGGCGAAGGCGGCUAUCUGGCACAUAACUGACGCUGAGGAACGAAAGCGUGGGUAGCAAACAGGAUUAGAUACCCUGGUAGUC
RNAcentral lists this ribosomal RNA (465 nucleotides) under uncultured bacterium. RNAcentral's name for it is "partial 16S ribosomal RNA". It matches the Rfam family "Bacterial small subunit ribosomal RNA", at positions 338 to 795 of the family's 1533-position model. The record is from RNAcentral.